RNAcentral lists this ribosomal RNA (512 nucleotides) under Shaogomphus postocularis. RNAcentral's name for it is "partial 16S rRNA". It matches the Rfam family "Bacterial large subunit ribosomal RNA", at positions 1831 to 2597 of the family's 2925-position model. The record is from RNAcentral. Lineage: Eukaryota; Metazoa; Arthropoda; Insecta; Odonata; Gomphidae.
GUCCUCUUGUUUGUAUAUGAGGUCUGACCUGCCCGGUGAAAAUUAAUUUUAACGGCCGCAGUAUUUUGACUGUGCAAAGGUAGCAUAAUCAUUAGUCUUUUAAUAGGGGGCUGGUAUGAAGGGUUUGACGAGGUGUUAACUGUCUCAUUUAAUUUGAAUUUAGAAUUUAACUUUUCAGUCAAAAGGCUGAAAUUAUAUUGGAAGACGAGAAGACCCUAUAGAGCUUUAUAAUUAAAUUUUUAAUUAUUUUUUGUUUAUCAUUUUUUAUUAUUGCUUUAAUUAUUUUGUUGGGGUGACAAAAACAUAUGAUUAACUUUUUUAUUUAUUUAACAUUGAUUUAUGAAUAUUAGAUCCAUUAUUAUUGAUUAUUAGAUUAAGUUACCUUAGGGAUAACAGCGUAAUCUUCCUUCAGAGUUCAUAUUUACGGGAAGGCUUGCGACCUCGAUGUUGGAUUAAGAUAAUAGUUAGGUGUAGCCGCUUAAUACAUAGGUCUGUUCGACCUUUAAAUUCUU